Molecule: long non-coding RNA, 235 nt
Filed under: Lathyrus oleraceus (garden pea)
Lineage: Eukaryota; Viridiplantae; Streptophyta; Magnoliopsida; Fabales; Fabaceae
Description: Pisum sativum (pea) long non-coding RNA (PSAT_LNC024561)
Source: RNAcentral
AUUUUUGAGCUUUGGUUUGAGAUUUUUAUCAUAUGCUAUCACUGUUUUGGACACAUGAAGAUAUGUUGUGACAAUUUGUGUCACAUUUUUGGUAUUCAAUUUGUGCAUUUUUGUUUACCUAUCAUUUGAGCUCUUCUGGAUUUGAUUUUUUGCACAUUGCUUGUACAUAACAUGAUUAGCUUGUAUAAAAAAUUUCAUGAUCAUUGGAUGCUUUUCUGUUUUGAUUUGGAUUUUC